GGGAAUUUUCCGCAAUGGGCGAAAGCCUGACGGAGCAAUACCGCGUGAGGGAUGACGGCCUAUGGGUUGUAAACCUCUUUUUUCAGGGAGGAAUCAAUGACGUGUACCUGAAGAAUAAGCAUCGGCUAACUCCGUGCCAGCAGCCGCGGUAAGACGGAGGAUGCAAGUGUUAUCCGGAAUCACUGGGCGUAAAGCGUCUGUAGGUGGUUUAAUAAGUCAACUGUUAAAUCUUGAGGCUCAACCUCAAAAUCGCAGUCGAAACUAUUAGACUAGAGUAUAGUAGGGGUAAAGGGAAUUUCCAGUGGAGCGGUGAAAUGCGUAGAUAUUGGAAGGCACACCGAUGGCGAAGGCACUUUACUGGGCUAUUACUAACACUCAGAGACGAAAGCUAGGGUAGCAAAUGGGAUUAGAUACCCCAGUAGUCA
Molecule: ribosomal RNA, 425 nt
Filed under: uncultured cyanobacterium
Lineage: Bacteria; Bacillati; Cyanobacteriota
Description: bacterial SSU rRNA
Rfam family: Bacterial small subunit ribosomal RNA
Source: RNAcentral